AAGCAAAUGAUUUGGCUGAAAGAAAGU
This 27-nucleotide non-coding RNA is filed under the name Mus musculus (house mouse). The record is from RNAcentral. Lineage: Eukaryota; Metazoa; Chordata; Mammalia; Rodentia; Muridae.